Molecule: ribosomal RNA, 253 nt
Filed under: uncultured bacterium
Lineage: Bacteria
Description: partial 16S ribosomal RNA
Rfam family: Bacterial small subunit ribosomal RNA
Source: RNAcentral
UACGUAGGUGGCAAGCGUUGUCCGGAAUUAUUGGGCGUAAAGCGCGCGCAGGCGGUCCUUUAAGUCUGAUGUGAAAGCCCACGGCUCAACCGUGGAGGGUCAUUGGAAACUGGGGGACUUGAGUGCAGAAGAGGAAAGCGGAAUUCCACGUGUAGCGGUGAAAUGCGUAGAGAUGUGGAGGAACACCAGUGGCGAAGGCGGCUUUCUGGACGGUUUCUGACGCUAAGACGCGAAAGCGUGGGGAGCAAACAGG